This 402-nucleotide ribosomal RNA is filed under the name uncultured bacterium. RNAcentral describes it as "bacterial SSU rRNA". It matches the Rfam family "Bacterial small subunit ribosomal RNA", at positions 355 to 774 of the family's 1533-position model. The record is from RNAcentral.
UGGGGAAUAUUGGACAAUGGGGGAAACCCUGAUCCAGCAAUGCCGCGUGAGUGAAGAAGGCCUUAGGGUUGUAAAGCUCUUUCGCCCGCGAAGAUAAUGACGGUAGCGGAAGAAGAAGCCCCGGCUAACUCCGUGCCAGCAGCCGCGGUAAUACGGAGGGGGCUAGCGUUGUUCGGAAUUACUGGGCGUAAAGCGUACGUAGGCGGAUGCGCAAGUUGGGGGUGAAAUCCCGGGGCUUAACCUCGGAAUCGCCCUCAAAACUGCACGUCUUGAGACCGAGAGAGGUAAGGGGAAUUCCUAGUGUAGAGGUGAAAUUCGUAGAUAUUAGGAAGAACACCAGUGGCGAAGGCGCCUUACUGGCUCGGUACUGACGCUGAGGUACGAAAGCGUGGGGAGCAAACA